UACGGAGGGGACUAGCGUUGUUCGGAAUUACUGGGCGUAAAGGGCGCGUAGGCGGCCGCUUGCGUCGGAUGUGAAAGCCCGGGGCUCAACCCCGGAACGGCAUCCGAUACGGGGCGGCUCGAGACCGAGAGAGGUGAGUGGAAUACCCAGUGUAGAGGUGAAAUUCGUAGAUAUUGGGUGGAACACCGGUGGCGAAAGCGGCUCACUGGCUCGGUUCUGACGCUGAGGCGCGAAAGCGUGGGGAGCAAACAGG
This 253-nucleotide ribosomal RNA is filed under the name uncultured bacterium. RNAcentral's name for it is "partial 16S ribosomal RNA". It matches the Rfam family "Bacterial small subunit ribosomal RNA", at positions 524 to 776 of the family's 1533-position model. The record is from RNAcentral.